UACAGAGGUCCCAAGCGUUGUUCGGAUUUACUGGGCGUAAAGGGUGAGUAGGCGGCCUAGCAAGUUUAGCGUGAAAUCCCCGGGCCUAACCCGGGAAAUGCGUUGAAUACUGUUGGGCUAGAGGGUCUGAGGGGAGUCUGGAAUUCCCGGUGUAGCAGUGAAAUGCGUAGAUAUCGGGAGGAACACCAGUGGCGAAGGCGAGACUCUGGAAGAUCUCUGACGCUGAAGUCACGAAGGCCAGGGGAGCAAACGGGAUUAGAUACCCCGGUAGUCCUGGCAGUAAACGGUGCGCACUUGCUGUAGGCGGAUUCGACCCCGCCUGUGGCGGAGCUAACGCGUUAAGUGCGCCGCCUGGGAAGUACGGCCGCAAGGCUA
RNAcentral lists this ribosomal RNA (375 nucleotides) under uncultured prokaryote. RNAcentral describes it as "bacterial SSU rRNA". It matches the Rfam family "Bacterial small subunit ribosomal RNA", at positions 524 to 896 of the family's 1533-position model. The record is from RNAcentral.